GGCCGCAGUGGACUACUGGGUACUUAUUUCUUACUAUAUGGUACCUAUGCAAUUUAUAUUUUUUGUCAGACGUCAUUACCUACUCUAUUAACACGUGAACGCCAUUAAUAGGGAUUUAAGCCAUAAUCAUUUCGUGUAUUUUUGACUUGGGCUAUGUCUAAAUCACAGUAUCACUGCAUCUAAUGCAUAGACAAGACGUGUACUGAUCUGAUGUGUUGUUUUUUGCGCGUUUAAAAAUUAAAACCAUUCGAAGUAGACCGAAGUUUUUUGUUUUUCCAAAAUUCAAAUAUCUACCAUAUUAAUAUAUAAUCCAAUUAUUUUUACCGACAGUGCGGUAACCUAACGACACAAGUAGCAACCAAUACUCGGCUGUAUACCAUUUUGGUAUUAAUAAGUGUCAAAUAGUUUGGAGUAUAAAAACACGUUUUUAGCGCGCAAUGAUGUCAUCAAAACCAAAGGUGCUAUUAAUACGUGGUGAUUUUCCAAAAAAAGCCAUCGAUUUAUUACGUACAAGGUGUGACGUCGAAGUGCUCAAAUGCAGCAACAAUAAUGGAUCGAUAACCUCGCAAGAUAUUAUUAAUUGUGUACCGGGCAUGUUUUCAAUUUUCUGUUAUGCCGGGAUACCAAUAAACGAACAGGUCCUAAAAGCAGCAGGUUAGUGUUGGUCGAUGAUAUUAUGCUCUU
Long non-coding RNA from Acyrthosiphon pisum (pea aphid), 684 nucleotides. RefSeq lists it as uncharacterized. The transcript has 3 exons. The record is from RefSeq and is a predicted model, not a curated record. NCBI's taxonomy places the organism in Eukaryota, Metazoa, Arthropoda, Insecta, Hemiptera, Aphididae.